RNAcentral lists this ribosomal RNA (309 nucleotides) under uncultured bacterium. RNAcentral describes it as "bacterial SSU rRNA". It matches the Rfam family "Bacterial small subunit ribosomal RNA", at positions 127 to 438 of the family's 1533-position model. The record is from RNAcentral.
UGCCUGGGAGUGGGGGAUAACGCUCGGAAACGGACGCGAAUACCGCAUACGUCCUACGGGAGAAAGCAGGGGACCUUCGGGCCUUGCGCUAUCAGAUGAGCCUAGGUCGGAUUAGCUAGUUGGUGAGGUAAUGGCUCACCAAGGCGACGAUCCGGAACUGGUCUGAGAGGAUGAUCAGUCCCACUGGAACUGAGACACGGUCCAGACUCCUACGGGAGGCAGCAGUGGGGAAUAUUGGACAAUGGGCGAAAGCCUGAUCCAGCCAUGCCGCGUGUGUGAAGAAGGUCUUCGGAUUGUAAAGCACUUUAA